Molecule: long non-coding RNA, 177 nt
Organism: Anneissia japonica
Lineage: Eukaryota; Metazoa; Echinodermata; Crinoidea; Comatulida; Comatulidae
Exons: 2
Source: RefSeq, a predicted model, not a curated record
GUCAGUACGAAGCGGAGGUAUGGAUGAUUGGCGAGGACGUAUCACCUCUUCAAAGCAUUCCACCUAAUGAAAAGGCAUUCAAAACAUUUGGAUUUUGUUUCGGAGAUUGCACAAAACAAGUUUUGGAAGAAGACAUAAAGAUAAUUGCAGUAGGUUUGCAUGGUCACCUUGCAGGUA